AACCACGCCCCCUCCGUGGGCACCGUGGCGGCAGGGAAGGAAAAGGGCUCUGGGUCUCGACUCUCUUCGGGUUAAGAACCGACGGGGUUUAUUCUAUGCAAGGUGUUAUUAACUCCAACUCUCCCUUUCGUUCAUUCAUUCCAUAUAUGUUGAACGACAACUUAGUGCCAAAUGCCGGCAUGCUGAAACUCAGAGAGGGAAGAUGUCUUGCAAGUACAGCAGCCACACCCAGAGUUUCGCUCUUGUUCCCUGGGCUGCAGUGCAGU
RNAcentral lists this long non-coding RNA (266 nucleotides) under Homo sapiens (human). RNAcentral describes it as "non-protein coding lnc-DUSP1-4:14". The record is from RNAcentral. Lineage: Eukaryota; Metazoa; Chordata; Mammalia; Primates; Hominidae.